CAGUAAGGAAUAUUGGUCAAUGGACGCAAGUCUGAACCAGCCAUGCCGCGUGAAGGAUUAAGGUCCUCUGGAUUGUAAACUUCUUUUAUUUGGGACGAAAAAGGGCCUUUCUAGGUCAACUGACGGUACCAGAUGAAUAAGCACCGGCUAACUCCGUGCCAGCAGCCGCGGUAAUACGGAGGGUGCAAGCGUUAUCCGGAUUCACUGGGUUUAAAGGGUGCGUAGGCGGGUAGGUAAGUCAGUGGUGAAAUCCUAGAGCUCAACUCUAGAACUGCCAUUGAUACUAUUUAUCUUGAAUAUUGUGGAGGUAAGCGGAAUAUGUCAUGUAGCGGUGAAAUGCUUAGAUAUGACAUAGAACACCUAUUGCGAAGGCAGCUUACUACGCAUAUAUUGACGCUGAGGCACGAAAGCGUGGGGAUCAAACAGGAUUAGAUACCCCUGGUAGA
Molecule: ribosomal RNA, 446 nt
Filed under: uncultured bacterium
Lineage: Bacteria
Description: bacterial SSU rRNA
Rfam family: Bacterial small subunit ribosomal RNA
Source: RNAcentral